Molecule: long non-coding RNA, 420 nt
Organism: Phyllostomus hastatus (greater spear-nosed bat)
Lineage: Eukaryota; Metazoa; Chordata; Mammalia; Chiroptera; Phyllostomidae
Exons: 3
Source: RefSeq, a predicted model, not a curated record
GGCUUCAUGACAUCAAGAUACAGCUGGUGGUCUAUGUAGGGCUCUUUGGCAUAAAUGUGAGGGGUCCUUGGAGGCACCUUGGAACAUGCUGCUAAACAUAUUUAUUGAAGAAACUCAGGGAAACGAGGCAUCAGCAUGAGAAGCACAGGAAGUGCUGCAAGCUGAGGCUGGGGCCUAGCCAGGGCUGAGGCUUGGACUCAGGACUGAGGAUGCUUCACGCUGAGAAGGAUGUGGUCACACUCAUGACCCUCCACCACUGUUUACCUGCUCUCAUUUCUUGUGAAUUGGACCCUCAUGGGCUGUGGUAGCAGUCUUCCUUUUCCUCUGGUUGUGGUUUGGAAGCCGUUAAUAGAAGCACCAGCAGGAGAAUGGGAAGUAGGAAGAGAGUGAGGUAAGGAUUUCCUUGGGGAAUAUAUAGUA